AUGAUUCCAUUACAAGAAGCUGGUUUUCUGUCUAUGAUUGUAAGGCUGAUCGGGAAUUGGUUGGAAACUGAUAUAGGUAGUUGGUUAGUGAGAUUUCUAUGGGUUGGUGCAACAAAACUCAAUUACAUUGCUUCUGAACUGACCGGCGUGAGAAGUGAUAAUCUGAAACCACAUCCUACUGCAAGAUUAUGGUCUUUGGGUUGUGACAAGCAUGAAACGCCUUUUCAGUUUGGUUGCGAGUUUGCGAAUCGUGAGCUAAGAGUCAUGGCUUGA
Molecule: non-coding RNA, 273 nt
Organism: Vicia faba (fava bean)
Lineage: Eukaryota; Viridiplantae; Streptophyta; Magnoliopsida; Fabales; Fabaceae
Source: the annotation of a GenBank genome assembly